Non-coding RNA from Macaca mulatta (Rhesus monkey), 285 nucleotides. The record is from RefSeq and is a predicted model, not a curated record. NCBI's taxonomy places the organism in Eukaryota, Metazoa, Chordata, Mammalia, Primates, Cercopithecidae.
GGAAGCAGAUUUCUUGGGUCUGAAUUUUAGCUCUGCCAUUUACUUAGCCAUGAGAACCUGGGCAAGUUGCCUAAAAUGUCUGUGCGUCAGUUUCCCACAAAUGGCUGAAUUUCCACCAACUUACAAAGUUCAGAUAAAAUGCCACAAAUACCACAAACUUCUACUGGUUACAGAUUGUGGAAAAGCCAUUUCCCUUCUCUGAACAACUAUUAAUACCAUCUAGUACCAACUGUUAGUACCACUGCUUAUAUCAUCUAAAUAUAACUUCAAUCAGUUACUAUCUUA